UGAGGAAUAUUGGUCAAUGGGCGCGAGCCUGAACCAGCCAAGUCGCGUGAGGGAGGACGGCCCUACGGGUUGUAAACCUCUUUUUGCCGGGGAGCAACGGGCGUCACGUGUGGCGCCACUGAGAGUACCCGGAAGAAAAAGCAUCGGCUAACUCCGUGCC
Molecule: ribosomal RNA, 160 nt
Filed under: uncultured bacterium
Lineage: Bacteria
Description: partial 16S ribosomal RNA
Rfam family: Bacterial small subunit ribosomal RNA
Source: RNAcentral